UGGAUUGAUGAUGACCACUGAUGGCAUAUAAGUCAUAUGUGAUGAAUACGUGUCUUGAACUCUGAGGUCCAA
Mustela putorius furo (domestic ferret) is the source of this 72-nucleotide small nucleolar RNA. The record is from Ensembl. NCBI's taxonomy places the organism in Eukaryota, Metazoa, Chordata, Mammalia, Carnivora, Mustelidae.